CCGAGAUGAAGAGGCAUAGAAGGAUAGGCUGUAGAGAGAAUAAUAUGAUGAUCCUCCAAGCACUCAGCUUCAGCAAUUAUCAACCAAUGCUCAUAUUUACAGAAGAUAACCACCCUU
Lontra canadensis (Northern American river otter) is the source of this 117-nucleotide long non-coding RNA. RefSeq lists it as uncharacterized. NCBI's taxonomy places the organism in Eukaryota, Metazoa, Chordata, Mammalia, Carnivora, Mustelidae. The transcript is spliced from 3 exons. The record is from RefSeq and is a predicted model, not a curated record.